AAGAAUAAAAAAAAUUGUAAGGAGAAUAUGAGGAUUGAACUCUACAACAAUUAACUGACUUUCAACUUUUUUGUACAUUUUUUAAUUUUUUUUCUUUUUUUAAGAGGUAGGAAGAAAAAUAUAAUACUUUUUAUUUAUUUAUUUUUAAUAACCUUUUUCCCUCUGUUUUUUUUUUCUCUGUCAACCUUUGAAAUAUAGUCUACAUACUUAAUCAACUCCACACAAACUCCAAAACAAAAUUUCUCCAUCCCCUAAAAUAGGAUUAUAAUAUUAUUCUUCGCUUCGGACUUGUAAUAAACUAUAAUAAAAAUUGGAUAAACAAGCUCAAGAGGCUUAAAAAAUAUUAGUAAUUUUAAAAUUCACUAAUUUGGAUAG
Molecule: long non-coding RNA, 375 nt
Filed under: Lathyrus oleraceus (garden pea)
Lineage: Eukaryota; Viridiplantae; Streptophyta; Magnoliopsida; Fabales; Fabaceae
Description: Pisum sativum (pea) long non-coding RNA (PSAT_LNC039854)
Source: RNAcentral